Molecule: unclassified non-coding RNA, 230 nt
Filed under: uncultured fungus
Lineage: Eukaryota; Fungi
Description: sequence contains ITS1
Source: RNAcentral
UAUUACUUUGUGUCUCUUAGUCAACCUGAUCUGGUCUAUGUUCGUGGGGAGGGCAUCAUGGGCAUGUCCACACCAGUGUCCACUCCAUGUCCACCCCAUGGCCACUCCCCCCGCACUCGCCCAUGCUGUCGCACAGACCAAAGCAGGCACUCCCGCACCCACUUCCUCAUAUCGGUGCACCAUCCAGCACACCCCCACUAAUGAUCCUUCCGCAGGUUCACCUACGGAAA